This 506-nucleotide ribosomal RNA is filed under the name uncultured bacterium. RNAcentral's name for it is "partial 16S ribosomal RNA". It matches the Rfam family "Bacterial small subunit ribosomal RNA", at positions 28 to 523 of the family's 1533-position model. The record is from RNAcentral.
GAUGAACGCCAGCUACAGGCUUAACACAUGCAAGUCGAGGGGUAACGAGAGGAAAGCUUGCUUUCCUUGUCGACGACCGGCGCACGGGUGAGUAACGCGUAUCCAACCUGCCCCCAACUAGGGAAUAACCUUGCGAAAGUAAGACUAAUACCCUAUAAUUUCCUCAGAUGUCAUCUGACGAGGAAUAAAGAUUUAUCGGUUGUGGAUGGGGAUGCGUCUGAUUAGCUUGUUGGCGGGAUAACGGCCCACCAAGGCAACGAUCAGUAGGGGUUCUGAGAGGAAGGUCCCCCCCGUUGGAACGGAGACACGGUCCAAACUCCUACGGGAGGCAGCAGUGAGGAAUAUUGGUCAAUGGGCGGAAGCCUGAACCAGCCAAGUAGCGUGCAGGAUGACGGCCCUAUGGGUUGUAAACUGCUUUUAAACAGGAAUAAAGUUAGCCACGUGUGGUUAUUUGUAGGUACUGUAUGAAUAAGGACCGGCUAAUUCCGUGCCAGCCGCCGCCGUAA